GAUGAACGCUGGCGGCGUGCCUAAUACAUGCAAGUCGAACGCUGAAGGAAGGAGCUUGCUCUUUCCGGAUGAGUUGCGAACGGGUGAGUAACGCGUAGGUAACCUGCCUGGUAGCGGGGGAUAACUAUUGGAAACGAUAGCUAAUACCGCAUAACAGUAGAUGUUGCAUGAUAUCUACUUAAAAGGUGCAAUUGCACCACUACCAGAUGGACCUGCGUUGUAUUAGCUAGUUGGUGAGGUAACGGCUCACCAAGGCGACGAUACAUAGCCGACCUGAGAGGGUGAUCGGCCACACUGGGACUGAGACACGGCCCAGACUCCUACGGGAGGCAGCAGUAGGGAAGCUUCGGCAAUGGACGGAAGUCUGACCGAGCAACGCCGCGUGAGUGAAGAAGGGUGUCGGAUCGUAAAGCUCUGUUGUAAGAGAAGAACGAGUGUGAGAGUGGAAAGUUCACACUGUGACGGUAUCUUACCAGAAAGGGACGGCUAACUACGUG
Molecule: ribosomal RNA, 497 nt
Filed under: uncultured bacterium
Lineage: Bacteria
Description: partial 16S ribosomal RNA
Rfam family: Bacterial small subunit ribosomal RNA
Source: RNAcentral